This 382-nucleotide long non-coding RNA is filed under the name Bos taurus (domestic cattle). RNAcentral's name for it is "long non-coding RNA NONBTAT001514". The record is from RNAcentral. Lineage: Eukaryota; Metazoa; Chordata; Mammalia; Artiodactyla; Bovidae.
AUCGAGGCUGUAGGAAUGGUCUAGAGUCACCUUGUUCAGAGAUUUUCCGGACUCCACUUUUCAAGCAGGAUAUUUAGAAAAAGUGAAAGAAAGUGAAAGAGAUCAAACAGCAUCUUGAAUUUGGAUGUAUGUCUCAGAAGCAAGAAGUAGUGUGCACACACUACUGUUUAGAGUGGUCUGUGCCUCUGAGCCCUGAUACAUGGGCUAAAGGGAAGAGACCAGGUUGGGGCGGGUCUCAUGGGCUCUCCAGGCAGAAGUCUAUGGCUGUACCAGAGAUAAGUAAUUAACAAGCUUUAAUACAACAGCUGCUGUUCCUCCUGAUUUUAAAAAUAGAUGAGAUGCUUACCUCUCCUUCACAUCUCCCACUGGGAAGUAUUUGUCU